GCACCAAUAGUGUAACGCUAUCAUUGUACCCUUCCGAGGUACAGACGCGAGUUCAACUCUAGGUUGGUGCA
Molecule: transfer RNA, 71 nt
Filed under: Angiostrongylus costaricensis
Lineage: Eukaryota; Metazoa; Nematoda; Chromadorea; Rhabditida; Metastrongylidae
Rfam family: tRNA
About the family: Transfer RNA (tRNA) molecules are approximately 80 nucleotides in length.
Source: Rfam by way of RNAcentral